AACGCGAAGAACCUUACCUGGGCUCGAAAUGUAGUGGAAUGGGGUGGAAACAUCCCCGUCUCGCAAGAGACUGCUAUAUAGGUGCUGCAUGGCUGUCGUCAGCUCGUGUCGUGAGAUGUUGGGUUAAGUCCCGCAACGAGCGCAACCCUUAUCCCUAGUUGCCAUCGGGUCAAGCCGGGCACUCUAGUGAAACCGCCUGGGAUAACCAGGAGGAAGGUGGGGAUGACGUCAAGUCCUCAUGGCCUUUAUGUCCAGGGCUACACACGUGCUACAAUGGUCGGUACAAACCGUCGCAAACCCGCGAGGGGGAGCUAAUCGGAAAAAGCCGGCCUCAGUUCGGAUUGGAGUCUGCAACCCGACUCCAUGAAGCUGGAAUCGCUAGUAAUCGCGGAUCAGAACGCCGCGGUGAAUACGUUCCCGGGCCUUGUA
RNAcentral lists this ribosomal RNA (429 nucleotides) under uncultured Acidobacterium sp. RNAcentral describes it as "bacterial SSU rRNA". It matches the Rfam family "Bacterial small subunit ribosomal RNA", at positions 958 to 1385 of the family's 1533-position model. Lineage: Bacteria; Pseudomonadati; Acidobacteriota; Terriglobia; Terriglobales; Acidobacteriaceae. The record is from RNAcentral.